UCGGCGAGCGGCGGACGGCUGAGUAACGCGUAGGAAUUUGCCCCAAAGUGAGGAAUAACUGCCCGAAAGGGUAGCUAAUGCCGCAUAUGGUCUUCGAAUUAAAGCCUUCGGGCGCUUUGGAGAAGCCUGCGUUGGAUUAGGUAGUUGGUAGGGUAAUGGCCUACCAAGCCGACGAUCCAUAGCUGGUCUGAGAGGAUGAUCAGCCAGACUGGAACUGAGACACGGUCCAG
This 230-nucleotide ribosomal RNA is filed under the name uncultured bacterium. RNAcentral describes it as "partial 16S ribosomal RNA". It matches the Rfam family "Bacterial small subunit ribosomal RNA", at positions 88 to 334 of the family's 1533-position model. The record is from RNAcentral.